RNAcentral lists this ribosomal RNA (253 nucleotides) under uncultured bacterium. Its description in RNAcentral is "partial 16S ribosomal RNA". It matches the Rfam family "Bacterial small subunit ribosomal RNA", at positions 524 to 776 of the family's 1533-position model. The record is from RNAcentral.
UACGUAGGGGGCUAGCGUUGUCCGGAAUCAUUGGGCGUAAAGGGCGCGUAGGCGGCCAAUCAAGUCCGACGUGAAAUUCCCCGGCUCAACCGGGGGCCUGCGUCGGAUACUGCUUGGCUUGAGUCCCGGAGAGGGUAGUGGAAUUCCCAGUGUAGCGGUGAAAUGCGUAGAUACUGGGAGGAACACCGGUGGCGAAGGCGGCUACCUGGACGGGUACUGACGCUGAGGCGCGAAAGCUAGGGGAGCAAACAGG